AAUUUAAAGCGCCGGGACCGCACACGGCAUAGCGGUUGACGAGGUCGGGGUUUAUCGAAAUAUUCGGCGGAUGCCCCGCGGUCACACACGGAUCGCAAAGGUACGGCAAAAACUCCGGGUAACCGGAAAACAAAGCG
This 137-nucleotide non-coding RNA is filed under the name pig gut metagenome. RNAcentral describes it as "glmS glucosamine-6-phosphate activated ribozyme". It matches the Rfam family "glmS glucosamine-6-phosphate activated ribozyme aptamer", at positions 5 to 153 of the family's 167-position model. Rfam says of the family: This entry contains a glucosamine-6-phosphate activated ribozyme that is found in the mRNA for GlmS. GlmS is an enzyme that uses fructose-6-phosphate and glutamine to generate glucosamine-6-phosphate. The ribozyme catalyses self cleavage of the glmS mRNA that is thought to regulate GlmS activity. The record is from RNAcentral.